Homo sapiens (human) is the source of this 4166-nucleotide long non-coding RNA. RefSeq lists it as uncharacterized. The record is from RefSeq and is a predicted model, not a curated record. Lineage: Eukaryota; Metazoa; Chordata; Mammalia; Primates; Hominidae. The transcript has 4 exons.
AGUUAGGGGAGGUUUCCCUGAUCUGCAGGAAUCAGCGUGGACGGCAGAGCCUCCCUGACAGGAGAGGGAAUAGUUAUGGAAGGACCUGAGAUGAGUGGAGGCGAGUGUGGAGAGGCUAUGCAGGCCCAGACUCUGGGACCCCGUAGGCCAUGGGAAGAACUUCGAUCUUCAGUCCAGGAGCCCUGGGAACGGAAUAUUGUUGUUUGACUUUUGCGAUGAUCAGUUUCACAUAUCCACUUGGCCAGUCGCUGGUACCCGGUUAUUCCAUCAAACACUAAAUCAGAUUAUCCUGGGUGAGACUGAUUCAAUCAGCUGAAAGACCUCAGGAGCGGAACUGAGGCUUCCCUGAGAAAACAUAAAUUCUGCCUAUGGACAGCAAUUUCAGUUCACCCCUAAAAUCCCACCCUCCUCUUUCUGAUGGCCUGUGCUGUGGACUUCCGAUGUGCCUUGCCAGCGCCCACAAUCAUGUGCAGCAAGUUGCCUUUUUAAAAUGUGCACUUUGGCCGGGUGUGGCAGCUCACUCUUGUAAUCCUAGCACUUCGGGAGGCCGAAGUGGGAGAACUGCUUGAGGCCAGGAGUUCGAGACCAGCCUGGGCAACAUCGUGAGACCACAUCUGUACAACAAAUAAAAUUUAAAAAAAUAUUAGCCAGGCAUGGUGGUGCAUGCCUAUAGUCCCAGCUACUUGGGAGGCUGAGGCGGGAGGAUCACUUGAGUUCAGGAGGUUGAAGCUUCAGUGAGCUGUGAUCAUGCCAAUGCAUUCCAGCCUGGGCAACAUACAAGAUCCUGUCUCAGAAAAACAAAUACAACAUACACCUUCUCCUCUGUUGUCUCUGUCAUAGGAACUAACCGUGCUGUACUCUGUGCUGGUUAUGGGUCUCACUCUUUAUUUCCUUUCCCUCCAGCCAUGCAAAGCCUUUUGUGCUAUUCUGUCCAAGUUGCAGUCAGCAACUUUAGUGCACAGGUGAUAAAAUUACAUCAUAUUUCAGGUAAAACAAUCGCAUGAUUUUCUUGAGUUCCUUAAACCAUAUUUUGGAAGAAAUAUGAAGUCUAAUAAUAAAUCAUCCAGACACAGCAGGAACAGUGUCAGCAAUUUUAGUGAAAUUUGUGUCUCCUGAGUUUACUAAUGAAAAUGAAUGGGGCAACUUCCACGUUCCCACAAACUCUUCAAAACCUUUGCUACUUCUCAAUAGACAGCAGUUGUAAUUGAAUAGAACACUGAGAUUGAUGUUAGGAUUAAAGGUUAUGAGCUAUGAAGACAGCUGAAUACUUAGUUCCAUAAAGUCUAUGAAAGGCAGGGUAUUGAAAUGGAAUUUUAUGGGCUUUUUUAUUUGUUGCUUUGUUUCUUAUGUGUCCAAGGCUAAUUAUACUAAUUAGAUCAGAAGGCAUGAAUGGGUACUACAGAAAAAGCCAUUCAGGAAAAAAAUAAUAAAGCAUCAGAAAUUGCUGUGUUAGUUGAUAACUAGAGGGAGGCUGAAGAGCAGCUUCAUCCUUCACCAAGCCCUGUACAUAUAUUACAUGGAAAUGGAAUUCUUCUGAGCAGAGGUCAUAUUCUGUGCUCAUGCUGUUACAUUAUCUUGGUCAUUGAAUUUGAGGGCUAAAAAUGAAACAGAGUAAGCUCAUAAAGAAAUAAAAUGUAGUAUAUAAAGGAUCAGGAAAUCCAUAAAGUAGAACCAAAAUCAUAUCUGAGUUGAAUAUUUGUCAAAAAUUUCUGUGAGAUGUCAGCAGUCCUAUAAAAGUAAAAAAUUUAUUUGCCACAUCACCUCCAAAAGCAAUCAUAAAAGCAUCUAGCUGCAUAACAAGUGCAUAUGUUAUCUGGAGAAUUAUUCUGUUAUGGCCCAAGCAGUGUCAUCAUACCAUUGUCACACAAUGGCAUUGUGGCCUCGUUGAAUGGCACAGCAGAGAGCAUUGUUGAGAGAGAAAUUGCCGGCUCCGAUUCACUGGCUGCUUCUUCAGAAAAUUCACUCGUUCAUUCGGCAAGUGUCUCUUUAGCGCCUCCCUCAUCCCAACACUGUGUUAGCUCACUGGAGGGAACAGUGCAAAGAUGCGGGUCAUUAUGAGAAGUUAUGAGAACUCAGGGAACCCUUUAUCCAGUUCUUGAAGGAUUAAGGAAGUCUUUGGGAAGGAAGAAAACUAAAAGCUUGGAAUGUGAUCAAGUGGUUGAGUAGGCAUUAGCGAAUGAGGUGAUGUAGGCAAAGAGAGUAGCAUAUUUAAAACCUAAAGGCAGAAAAUGGUAGGUUCAGGUAGAGUUUAUGUUUCUGCUGAGAGGGAAUUGUGUCAAAAGAGGAUUCUAAAGGAAUGGCAGAAACGUGCUUAUGAAGGACUUUCUUAGCCACAUUCAGGAGUAUUGGCUGCAUCCUGAGGCAGAGAGAAGCCAAGACUGGUAUUAAACUGGCAGAAAUGUGUGACUUAUUCAAGGAGUUACUCUUGAGAAGCCACUGAUCAUAGUGGAGAAAGUACAUUGGAGACAUAAAGAAUUUGCUUUUUAACCCCAACAGGACUUCUCAAAUUACUAUAGAAUAUACUGUUAUACUUAAAUGCGUGUGUCAAAGUGCAAUCUUCAACCAAAAUGGGAAUUUGUUUCUUGAAGAUGUUUUGAAGAAGCUGGUAGGUGAGUGAGAUGGACCGUAAUGCACUACCUUAAAAAUCCCAAGGAGGGCCGGGCGUGGUGGCUCACUCCUGGAAUCCCAGCACUCCGGGAGGCCGAGGCGGGUGGAUUACUGAGGUCAGGAGUUGGAGACCAGCCUGGCCAACACGGUGAAACCGCGUCUCUACUAAAAAUACAAAAAAUUAACUGGGCCUGGCCAACAUAGUGAAAUCCCGUCUCUACUAAAAAUACAAAAAAUUAACUGGGUGUGGUGGUGUGCGCUUGUAAUCCCAGCUAUUCGGGAGGCUGAGGCAGGAGAAUUGCUUGAACCCAGGAGUCAGAGAUUACAGUGAGCCAAGAUCAGGCCACUGCACUCCAGCCUGGACAACAAGGGCGAAACUCCGUCUCAAACAAACAAACAAACAAACAAAAAACACAAAACAAACAAACAAAACACCAAGUAAGCAGCAAUCUGGUCUGAGAGGCGGAAAAUCUGUAUUUUUUGGAAUAUUCCUCAUGUGUUAAUAUAUGAUAUUGUUGUUAACUUAGUGUGAUGUUUACUGAAAGUCGCAAGUCAGCAAUAAUAGAUAUGUAUUGAGUGGCCACUAUGUGUCAGGCACUGAUCUAAGCACUUGGGAAGCAUCCACAAAUACCCCUUUCCUCCCGGAACUUAUUAAUACAGUCAAAUAGAAAGCAUUUGUUUCCAAUAAAUAAAAAUGAUAAGUGUAACAAAUCAGUAAAUGAUGUGAUAAUUAGGUGAUACGCACAUACCUGCUAUGGAAGAAGGAAAACAAUAGAACAUGAUCAGAGCAAUUGGGAAUUUAAAAUGAGUUGUAAUUUUAAACAGGAUGGACAGGUUGAGUCUUAUUGGGACGGUGCAUUUAAGUGACAAUGUGAAGCAGGUGAAGGAAUUUGCCAAGUUGAUCUGGGGAAAGGAAGUCCUGGACAGUGAGAAGAGCCAGUGCAAAGCCAGUGCAGAGAGCGUGCCAACUUUGUCCGAGGAGAUUGAGGGGCAGGGCAGCGGCAGAUUAAGUUAAACUGGUAAUGGGGAGGGAAAGCUCCUCAGGCCUUGUGUGGACUUUGUCUUUUAUUCUGAGUGAUGCUGAGAGACAGCAUCUGAUUUAGGUCUUACCUGGAUCACUCUGACUGCUAUGUUUAGAACAGUCUUUAGGGCAAAAAGGAGGCAGAAGUCACUUUGGUGGAAGUGAAUGAGGUCAGAUGUGGGAUAUGUGCAAACUUCAGGUAACUAGGAUUCCAUAAUGGAUUGGAUGUGGGGAGUGAGAAAAGCAGAGUCUAAUAUGACUUCCAGGGAGUUUGGUCUCAGGAAUAGAGAAGAAUGAACUUGUCAUCAACUGAAAUGGGGAAGGCUGCAGGUUUAGGGGGAAAGUCAGGACUGGGUUUUGGACACCUAACACGUAAGGUUUCUGUUUAGACAUUCCAGUGGAGAUGUCAAAUAGGCAGUUGAUUGUAUAAAACUUUGAGAAAAAAUUGUAUGUGGAGAUGUGCAUUUGUGUUACUGUGAUACAGAGAAUAACAGAAGCCAUUAAUCUAAACAGAUUAUUAAUUUGUACAUAAAUUAAA